AACGCACAUUGCGCCCCCUGGCAUUCCGGGGGGCAUGCCUGUCCGAGCGUCAUUUCUGCCCUCAAGCCCGGCUUGUGUGUUGGGCGUGGUCCCCCCGGUUUCGGGGGGGACCUGCCCGAAAGGUAGCGGCGACGUUCCGCCUAGGUCCUCGAGCGUAUGGGGCUUUGUCACCCGCUCGGGAGGGGCCUACGGGCGUUGGCCAUCCACCCAUUUUUUUACGGUUGACCUCGGAUCAGGUAGGAGUUACCCGCUGAACUUAA
This 260-nucleotide unclassified non-coding RNA is filed under the name uncultured fungus. RNAcentral's name for it is "partial contains 5.8S ribosomal RNA, internal transcribed spacer 2, and large subunit ribosomal RNA". Lineage: Eukaryota; Fungi. The record is from RNAcentral.